CAGCAGCAGCCGCGGUAAUACGAAGGGGGCUAGCGUUGUUCGGAAUUACUGGGCGUAAAGCGCACGUAGGCGGAUAUUUAAGUCAGGGGUGAAAUCCCAGAGCUCAACUCUGGAACUGCCUUUGAUACUGGGUAUCUUGAGUAUGGAAGAGGUGAGCGGAAUUCCGAGUGUAGAGGUGAAAUUCGUAGAUAUUCGGAGGAACACCAGUGGCGAAGGCGGCUCACUGGUCCAUUACUGACGCUGAGGUGCGAAAGCGUGGGGAGCAAACAGGAUUAGAUACCCCUGUAGUCCCUGUCUCUUAUAC
Molecule: ribosomal RNA, 304 nt
Filed under: uncultured bacterium
Lineage: Bacteria
Description: partial 16S ribosomal RNA
Rfam family: Bacterial small subunit ribosomal RNA
Source: RNAcentral